UUCAAAUUGAGAGUUUGAUCCUGGCUCAGGACGAACGCUGGCGGCGUGCCUAAUACAUGCAAGUCGAGCGAGCUGAAUUCAAAGAUCCCUUCGGGGUGAUUUGUUGGACGCUAGCGGCGGAUGGGUGAGUAACACGUGGGCAAUCUGCCCUAAAGACUGGGAUACCACUUGGAAACAGGUGCUAAUACCGGAUAACAACAUGAAUCGCAUGAUUCAAGUUUGA
RNAcentral lists this ribosomal RNA (223 nucleotides) under Lactobacillus delbrueckii subsp. bulgaricus. RNAcentral describes it as "16S rRNA. Bacterial SSU". It matches the Rfam family "Bacterial small subunit ribosomal RNA", at positions 1 to 204 of the family's 1533-position model. Lineage: Bacteria; Bacillati; Bacillota; Bacilli; Lactobacillales; Lactobacillaceae. The record is from RNAcentral.